AAAACUACUCGGCUCAUCUGGGUUACUUGCUUGGUCUCUUCUGCUGUGAAGUGAGCAACCUCUGUGCCAUGAUGCACUACUUCACCACAGACCCAGAAACACGGAGCACGAUGACCAUGAACUAAAAAUGCUGAAAAUAUGCUCAGAGGAAGAAAGAAAACACAUUCUCAAUGAUGAACUUCACACUGGUAUUCCCAUGAGAGAGAGAGGCCCUUUUCUCUCUCUGGUCCCCCAAACAGCCAAAACUUGUUUCCAUCAUUAGGAGAGAAGCUUGGGCCUCCUCUGCUUACCCAGGAUGCUGCCAAAGGUUUACGUGCCUCCGGCUCUCAGAAACCCUAAGACGAAGACCAAUGACUACCCUUAGCACAUUUGUGGAAGAAGACUGACUCAUGCCAGCCAACAAGUAGAAGAAUCUGAUAUUCCAGAAGAUUCAAAUGAAGAAUGAAUGGAUGUCCAGCUUCCUGGCAAUAAGUGGGAACAAGCAACCAAGCACUUCUAAUUCUGCAUGGAUGGAGGAUGAAAAGAACCACACUUUCAAAGGAAGCUCAGCAGGCAGAAGCCUCCCUUCCACCUUCUCUGAACAGCCUGUGGGGUCUGUGAAGAGCCGGACUGCAGCACCAGUCAGCGCUGGGAAGAAAGUUAAGAGCCAUAGCCAGGACUGCUCUCUUCUCCAUACUCAGCAGUCACGGGGUUAAAGGCUUCUGCUCCCAUGAGACUGUAUGUUGCCAGGACCUUCAAACAUCCUAUCAAAAGCUCCACACUGAACAAGUUAUGGAGAUGACUGGUGCUGAUUAUCAUACGCCAGUGGGUAUAGACUCAAUGCUACUGAAAUGUGCACUGAAAAAGUGGUCUUGUCAAUAUCCUGAUGCCUGAGGAUAGGAACCAAGUUAUCGGAGGGGAGAAACAUUCAGCUGGAAGUGAGCCUUCCUGGGGAGGCAGACAACUGUAAAGCCAUGGCAAAGCCAGUGACGGGCGUCCUCUCAAAUGGUCCCCAACACUGCAUUUCAGAAGAGUUCACUCCUUACAGAUUUGACUUCUGAACAUACCUGGAGG
Mesocricetus auratus (golden hamster) is the source of this 1053-nucleotide long non-coding RNA. RefSeq lists it as uncharacterized. The transcript has 8 exons. The record is from RefSeq and is a predicted model, not a curated record. NCBI's taxonomy places the organism in Eukaryota, Metazoa, Chordata, Mammalia, Rodentia, Cricetidae.